GUUACCGUAUAGUUUAAUGGCUGUGCAUGGAGGGCUCGAAGUCAGACUUCUCAGAUUUGAUUUGUUUCCUUUAUUUCAAGUCGUAUGUCCAAGGGAGAGCUGUGUAUGAGCCAAGACCUGAUGUCAUUGAGGAAGGCUCACUGACAAGAACAAAAGGUCCUGCAGAGAGAGAAGACCACGAGAAGCAAAAAGCAGCAAGAUGACUGGAAAGAUUCAGGAAUUGGGAGCAGUGAAUAACUCAAAGUGCAGUGGAGGUUGGUGCUGAACAUCAGCAUUAGCUGACAAUUUGUAAAAGAAGCAGUUCCUGGCCAGGU
This 314-nucleotide long non-coding RNA is filed under the name Homo sapiens (human). RNAcentral's name for it is "HSALNT0236068". Lineage: Eukaryota; Metazoa; Chordata; Mammalia; Primates; Hominidae. The record is from RNAcentral.